This 2988-nucleotide long non-coding RNA is filed under the name Limulus polyphemus (Atlantic horseshoe crab). RNAcentral describes it as "uncharacterized LOC111088750". Lineage: Eukaryota; Metazoa; Arthropoda; Merostomata; Xiphosura; Limulidae. The record is from RNAcentral.
AUUCCGUUAUAAGAUCGUUCUAAUUUUUGUUUCCUAAUUGUUCCAUUUUUCAGGAACUUCAAAAAUUAAAAAAUAGGCUUAAAUGUCAUCGACAAUCCGACAGCAAAAAAAGACACGUAAGUACAAAGAAUGUUCGGCAAUAAUUUAUUAUUAAGCUUUCAUUACCCAUUGAUGUUUAUGGUGUCUUUUAGAUUCUAUACAAUUUAUUUUAAGUACUAACCAAAUUAUCUCGUUUAUUUUAAUUUAUCAUAAUUUAUAUAAACUAUUGAAAAUUCUUUUAUAUCCAUUUUGAUUAUCUGUUGGAAUAAGUUAACGUAAUCGGUAUUUAACGUGAUUCUUCUCUUUAACAAACUAUUUGGAAUAGUCUACUAUUGCUACGGCCGAGGGUACGUCAAGUUGUAUACCAUAAAGUAUUACCCUUUCCACGUUGCUGCCAGAUGUUCGAUAAUGAUCGUAUUUUAUGAUAACAUUAACAUCUGUACAACGUACAAUCAAUAAUACACAAAAAAUAUUUAAAAUGUACGAUAAUUUUAUCAUGUUAUUACACUUGAAACACGUCAUAACGUUCUUAUACCUAGGGGUCAGCCAAAUAAUAACAGCUCUACAUGAACACACACAAUGGUAUUAUUAUAAUAUAAGCUCAGAGACAGACAACCAUUAAGCGCUGUAUUACUUGAUAAUGUGAUGUAUUAUCUUGGUGUGUUUAUGUGUUAUGAUGACGUUCAAUUCUAACCGCCUUUGCACGUUGUUGUAAUUGUAGAUUAAGUCUGCGGUCGGAUUAGCCCAAUUAACAACAAGGCGAGCAUAUGUUAAUAAACUAUACUAGUGUUCGGCGAAAGACUUAAACAGCAAAACAAAGACGAAAGAAUAAUCAUAUUAAUAAACAUUGUGUUUCCUGGAGAACACAAAUUUAAACAAAACGUGGUGAUGAUCGGUAUUUAGCAAUAAAGUGUAGGAUUGUUAUGAUACAGUACAGCCUGGGCAAUUUGAUAUAGUUCGUAUAUAAAAUAAAUAUUUGAAACCAAAUUUUUAGGGUGAGAAGCCCUCUAAACCACCGAAGGGAUAAAAAGAUAAACAACAAGGUGUACAGAAUCUUUGUCAGUUUUCACUCAGUCUCAUCAGACCCAGUGUGGAAUCGAAUCAAGGUCUCUGAAGGUUUUGGUGUUGUCACUGUAGGAGAACUGCACAUUCAGAAAUUCAUUUUGUUCUCUUUGUUUACAUACGUUUAGAAGUUCUUGGAUAAUUAAAUUGUGCAAGGGCAUUGUUAGUAUUAUGACAAGUGAAUAUGGUAACUUUAAUUUCCAUGAUGACUAAUCCACAACCAGCCCAGCAACCAUGUAUCCAACCACAGUUACUAAGGAAACCAGAGCUGCCAACCAUUCCACUUAUACAGAUUAUCAAUCAUCCAAUAAGCCUGUAAGAAAUACCAACCUUCAAGUGUCACUGUCAGGAGCAGCUGACAUGAAAGACUGAGGCCUGGGCCCUCUAUAAUCACGAGGAGGACUGGCUCAGGAAAUGAGCAGAUAUACCAACCCAACGACUCAUUUAAUUAAUGUCAUGGGUUUGCUUCUUUUCAUUUCAUAUUUUUCUAUAUUCUUGCUCUCACUUGCAUAAACAUGUUUUACGAUACUCUAACAUUUGUUAGCUCUCCUCUUUGUUCAUAUACCGUUUUUGUAUUUUCUUUCAAUUUAGUUUGAACACAAAGAAACUUAAGUAUAUGGAUCUCAACUUUACCAUUCUCCAGUGCACAUGGGAUGUACUUAACUAUUUAACAAUUAACCCUAUUUCCUUACAGAAAAGCGAGCUUGUGACAUCAAAAGAUGGUUGUUUUUUUGUCAGCAGAUCAGAUAAUGGGCAGAGGUUACCACAUCUUUAUGCUUAGAAUGUAGUGGAGGAGUUUUACAAGACCAUAGCUGAGAGCCAAAUAUCAACAUUUACAACAGGAGGAAAUCUCUCAGCUCAAAAAGGACAAUCAGAAAGUUAAAGAGGUCCUCUGGGAUGUCUUGACUGAAUGGAAGAGGCCCAUGGGUAUCAUUGGUAGAUUUAUAUUGACCCUUUGAAGCUUUUCAUCAGUGGCAAGUCUGAAGGCUUAUAAUGCCAAACUCUGGGUUUCAAGUACUCAUGGUGGGCACAGUACAGAUAGCCCAUUGUGUAGCUUCACACUUAACAUCAAACAAACAAAGCUUGAGUUUAAUUACUGUACUAUAUUUGUUAAGUUGAUAUUAUUAUGUGUACAUUAACAAUUGAUAUUUUGUUUAUAGUCCAGUUUCCAAAUUUCUUUUUUAAUGUUAUUAUGUUAAAACUUGAGUUUAGUUACUGUAAUAAAAACAUUAUUACGGAGUAAAAUCUGAAUUAUCAGACCUCAAUUGAGUUUGAAGAAAAUAUGGAGACUGGGCAAAAGUUAAAUAACAGUGAGAUAUUCUUUACUUAAUUCAAACAACAACCAAAUUAAAACAAAUAUAUUUUUUUAUGAGUUCAAAUACUAGAGAUAUUUAAUGAAUGUGUUACAGUAUUCUCUUAAAACCAGUUCCAGACUGAGAAAAAAUAUACAAACAUUAUAUACAAGAAACAACAAUACCACUUUCUCAGGUUGCGGGUGCUACCCAUGUAUCUGAUGGCUACUGUCGCUACAAAAUUGUAGUAUUGGGGUAUCACCCGCCCUGUCACUAUUAUGAUAUCGUAUGCUCCAUCUUACAAGAAUUUUUGCCACAAGGACUUUUAUGUGGUCUGUAUAAGUAGGAAGAUUAUCUUUCUCAUUGAAUGUAAAAUGAGUGUGACCUUUGAUGUAGGUUACUCAAGGCUGUAAGAUAUCAACCAAGGGAAGAUGCUGUGGGAAGAUGGGAGCAUUGUCGUGAGAGGUUAAUAAUACAUGAAGAGAUAUGGAACUGAACUAAUAAUAAAAGAUUAACAUACAGGUAACUUAUUAAUGAAUAUUUUUAACAGUAGUGUGUAAUAUGUGUGUCUGUAUAUAUAGAUAGUACAGGAAGA